This 453-nucleotide ribosomal RNA is filed under the name Parvimonas micra. RNAcentral describes it as "bacterial SSU rRNA". It matches the Rfam family "Bacterial small subunit ribosomal RNA", at positions 28 to 464 of the family's 1533-position model. Lineage: Bacteria; Bacillati; Bacillota; Tissierellia; Tissierellales; Peptoniphilaceae. The record is from RNAcentral.
GACGAACGCUGGCGGCGUGCUUAACACAUGCAAGUCGAACGUGAUUUUUGUGGAAAUUCUUUCGGGAAUGGAAAUGAAAUGAAAGUGGCGAACGGGUGAGUAACACGUGAGCAACCUACCUUACACAGGGGGAUAGCCGUUGGAAACGACGAUUAAUACCGCAUGAGACCACAGAAUCGCAUGAUAUAGGGGUCAAAGAUUUAUCGGUGUAAGAAGGGCUCGCGUCUGAUUAGCUAGUUGGAAGGGUAAAGGCCUACCAAGGCGACGAUCAGUAGCCGGUCUGAGAGGAUGAACGGCCACAUUGGAACUGAGACACGGUCCAAACUCCUACGGGAGGCAGCAGUGGGGAAUAUUGCACAAUGGGGGGAACUCUGAUGCAGCCUCGCCGCGUGAGCGAAGAAGGUUUUCGAAUCGUAAAGCUCUGUCCUAUGAGAAGAUAAUGACGUAUCAUAG